UGCUGCAGCUAACGCAUUAAGCACUCCGCCUGGGGAGUACGGCCGCAAGGCUGAAACUCAAAGGAAUUGACGGGGGCCCGCACAAGCGGUGGAGCAUGUGGUUUAAUUCGAAGCAACGCGAAGAACCUUACCAGGUCUUGACAUCCCGCUGCCCGCCUUAGAGAUAAGGCUUUCCCUUCGGGGACAGCGGUGACAGGUGGUGCAUGGUUGUCGUCAGCUCGUGUCGUGAGAUGUUGGGUUAAGUCCCGCAACGAGCGCAACCCUUGAUCUUAGUUGCCAGCAUUCAGUUGGGCACUCUAAGGUGACUGCCGGUGACAAACCGGAGGAAGGUGGGGAUGACGUCAAAUCAUCAUGCCCCUUAUGACCUGGGCUACACACGUGCUACAAUGGACGGUACAAAGGGCAGCCAACCCGCGAGGGGGAGCCAAUCCCAGAAAACCGUUCUCAGUUCGGAUUGCAGGCUGCAACUCGCCUGCAUGAAGCCGGAAUCGCUAGUAAUCGUGGAUCAGCAUGCCACGGUGAAUACGUUCCCGGGCCUUGUACACACCGCCCGUCACACCACGAGAGUUUGUAACACCCGAAGUCGGUGA
Molecule: ribosomal RNA, 590 nt
Filed under: Planococcus sp. (in: firmicutes)
Lineage: Bacteria; Bacillati; Bacillota; Bacilli; Caryophanales; Caryophanaceae
Description: bacterial SSU rRNA
Rfam family: Bacterial small subunit ribosomal RNA
Source: RNAcentral